UGUGACGUCAUCUAUGCGACAAUUUUAAAGCACAUUUCCAGCAGAUUCUUCUAAGUUAUUCUGAAAGCCAAACUCCAUUACAAGCUAUAAUAGCAUCAAAACAAAGGCACUUUUAAGAGCCACGUCCCCGUCGUUUCCCUGUCCUUGCUGUUGUGAAAUUGUCCUAUCUCUGUUGCUGUCUAUGUAUCUCUGUCUGUGUACCUGUGUAUGUGUCUCAUCUGUCCAUCUUUCUGUUGUUAGUCCCUUUCUGUGUUUUUGUUUUUGUACACUUGUUUGUCAUGACUCGACCUAAAUUCAGGCCCUGCCCUGCAUGCCAGACUCCAAAUCAGGCGAGCAGGAAAACAUGCCGUUCCUGCUACGGAAGCCUGUCAACCAAAACAAAACUAAAAGAAAAAGUGGCAUCACUGGAUAGUGAAUGGGGCCAAGGUGUGGUGAAAAACAGAAAUGUUGGACGUAUACUUGAUUCUGCCCGUAUUGCAGUGCUGAAACUGGAGGCUGUAGGCGACAAGCCCAUUCUACUUUAUGGCAAGCCAAAUAGGGCGUCAAAUAGGUGGGCUGCUAAUAUAAUAACCCAUCUGCCCCCACUCCUACCAACAAAACCCUAUUGGAGAAAAUGCAGAGGUGUUAUGAAUUCCUCUUGAGAAAGGAGAGCUCCACUUCCCAUCAACCUGCAUCUGAAACUCCCACAGCCGAGCAACCACAGACCAUUUGUUACGGUAGAGUGAAGCAGGCAGGACCCAAAUGCAGAAUAAACUGAUAACACCUUUAUUUCAAGGAUAUGAAUAAAACUCGGACAAAACAGAACACUCCCCGGUGAACUCAGUCACCAACAAAAGACGAACCAACACUGAACACAGGAAGAGCCAAGACUAAAUACUGGGAAAGUCUUGUCUGAAUGAACAGCCAAAAAAGAAGAAGAUGAAACCAGAUGUUGCAGAACUUGGGAAGACACUUGGGAGCCUGCCAGUGAAUUUGAACACCACACUGCCACACUCGACUCUUCACCUCCCUCUGGCUUAGCCAGCCACGUUUAGCAUAUCAGCCUUAAUCCACCUGGACUGCAUGCAUUUCUUUAAAUUCGAACAUGUUUAGCAUCAAGACCAAUUGCUUCUUUAAAUGUAGUUUUAACUUAAGUCAAGUUUUUGCACUCUGUAUGUAUCCAGGUGGUUGUGUGUUUCUUUCAGGAAGUUGUCACUUUAAAACACCUUUUGUAUUUCUCCUGAAACAGGUUAUUGUUAUUGUAUUUCUAUGUAAAGACUAGUAUAAAAAGUAUGUGUGCAUAUAGCCUAUGUAUUUGUUUCUGAAUAUUGAAAUACAAAUAAAUAACUGGCA
Molecule: long non-coding RNA, 1332 nt
Organism: Gymnodraco acuticeps
Lineage: Eukaryota; Metazoa; Chordata; Actinopteri; Perciformes; Bathydraconidae
Exons: 6
Source: RefSeq, a predicted model, not a curated record